UUGCCUAGGGCCCCAAUAAAUCUUAAUCCGCUAAUGUCUCUUAGGUCUAGGGGGGACCAGGGAGGCUGGGCUGUGCCCUCUGACCUGCCCUGUCUCCACAGCUGCCCCCCAGCUCUGGCCCCGGGAGGCACCAAGGGCACAGGCUACUCCACAGUUGUGCUGGGGGCACAGCUCAGUGACAUCUACAAGCUCCCGGCACUGUGUGGGGCCCUGGUCCAUGUCUCACAGCACCAUCACAACCUGGUGACCGUGGUUCGGCUGCUCCCAGAUACCACGGCCAGGGGCAGGUAGGUAGGUGCCUGUGUGAUACAGGGGGCUGCUCCUUCCACAGUUGCAAACUGCUAGAAAUAGUGUUAUGCUAACAGCACAACGUGUGGCCAUGCUCAUGCGCAGGUAACGUGCUAGUAUGGGGUUCGUACUGACACGCCAGCGUCAUGCUGAUUUCAUGCCCACAGAUUUGAACCCGCAGCUUCCUUCCUUCCGCCGCUGGGCAGGAUGUGGUUGGGGGGGGAACAUCCUUAGGCUGUGGCUGGGAGUUCAAGUCCCAGGGAAGGAAGCCCAGUACUGAUACAGCCCUGGCUUCCUCUCAGGCUUCCGCCCCUGCCCCCGCCACUACCACUGCCCCCCAGCUAGGCUGCCUCUGCCUCAUGGGGGGAUGGAGAGCAGGGUAGGGCCCUGGGUUGUUGGGUAAGUGUGGUCAGGGCUUGGGGGAUUUUGGGUAACUGGGCUGGUAGCAUUGACCCUGGGGGAUUACAGAGUAGGGUUGGCUACCCCAAGGGCCUUGGGGUAAUGCAUAGCAGGGCAGAGCCCCAGGGGAUUGUGGAUAAGAGCGGGGCCAGGCCUGAGGGAUUCUGCCUGGGUUAGAGCAGGAUUGAGCCCAGGGGUCCUGGGUGAGAGCAGGGCCAGGCCUGGGGGGGAUUGUGGGUAAGAGCAGAGCUGGACCUGGGGCUUCUGAGUAAGCAGAGCUGAGAUCAGGGAAUUGUGAGUAAGAGUGAGACUGAGCCCAGACAUGCUGAGGCGUGGGGCCCAGCCC
RNAcentral lists this long non-coding RNA (1033 nucleotides) under Crocodylus porosus (Australian saltwater crocodile). Its description in RNAcentral is "lncRNA (ENSCPRG00005000398.1)". The record is from RNAcentral. Lineage: Eukaryota; Metazoa; Chordata; Crocodylia; Crocodylidae.